This is a long non-coding RNA of Ictalurus punctatus (channel catfish), 778 nucleotides long. NCBI's taxonomy places the organism in Eukaryota, Metazoa, Chordata, Actinopteri, Siluriformes, Ictaluridae. The record is from Ensembl.
CUUCAGUUUCACCUGUGAAGACUGCAUUUUUUGUUAAAAAGGAUUAGCCAACAUAAAGAUAAGAGAGCUGUCUAUGGGAGUCAAGCAAGCCAUUUUGAAGCUGAGAAAAGAGGGAAUUAGAGUCAUUCGACAAACAUUGGGUAUAGCCAGUACAACAAUUUGGAAUGUCCUGAAAAAGAAAGACACCACUGGUGUACUGAGCAACAGACACCGUAAUGGGUCGGCCAAGGAAAACAACAACAGCUGAUAACAGAAAUAUUGUGAGAGCUGUGAAGAAAAACCCAAAAUCAAGAGUCAGUGACAUCACCAAAAACUUCCACAGGGCAUAGGUCAAGAUAUCACAAUCCACCAUUCGAAGAAGACUAGAAGAGCAGAAGUAUAGACUGCAGGGAGAAACCCCCUGAAACAAACAAGAUGUGAAAGAGUCUGUGGUAAAAGCCUGGAAAAGCAUCACAAAAGAAGAAACCAACAAUUUGGUGAUGUCAAUAAGUCUCAAGCUUGAUGCAGUUACUGCGGGGAGCCUGGCGGAAAGCCUGGAACCUAUCCCAGGGGACUUGGGGCACAAUGUUGGGGACACCCUAGACAGGGUGCAAACCCAUCGCAGGGCACUAUUCACACUCUACUGACAAUUUCGAGAUUGUCCAAUCAGCCUACAAAUGCCUGUCUUUGGACUGGAGGAGGAAACCCCUGAAGCACACAGAGCAGAGUAGUUCAUAAGUACACAUAACUACACAUGAUAGUCCUGAGAUGCCAGUGAUGCUGACCCCUUCUGUUCUCU